Stegodyphus mimosarum is the source of this 73-nucleotide non-coding RNA. NCBI's taxonomy places the organism in Eukaryota, Metazoa, Arthropoda, Arachnida, Araneae, Eresidae. The record is from Rfam.
GCCUUCGUGGUGUAGUGGUCAGCACACUGGGCGUGUAUUCGAGAGGUCAGUGGUUCGAGUCCUGGCGAGGGCA